Molecule: unclassified non-coding RNA, 452 nt
Filed under: uncultured Inocybe
Lineage: Eukaryota; Fungi; Basidiomycota; Agaricomycetes; Agaricales; Cortinariaceae
Description: sequence contains ITS2
Rfam family: 5.8S ribosomal RNA (bases 1-154)
Source: RNAcentral
AACUUUCAACAAUGGAUCACUUGGGUCUCCCAUCGAUGAAGAACGCAGCGAAAUGCGAUAACUAAUGUGAAUUGCAGAAUUCAGUGAAUCAUCGAAUCUUUGAACGCAUCUUGCGCUCCUUGGUAUUCCGAGGAGCAUGCCUGUUUGAGUGUCAUUUCAAGUUCUCAACUGCAUCAAUUUCUUGUUGAUGUGGCUUGGAUGUGGGGGAUUGAUUAUUGCAGGCUUCUGUCAAAGGAGGUCGGCUCCCCUGAAAAACAUUAGUGGUAUCUGAGCAGAAGAAACUACUACAGGUGUGAUAAUUAUCUAUGCCUUUCAGUAUGCUGCAUAAAAACAGAUUGCACUGCUUCUAACUAGUGAAAACCUCUCUACAAGGAGGGGCCACAUUUGACAAAUUUGACCUCAAAUCAGGUAGGACUACCCGCUGAACUUAAGCAUAUCAAUAAGCGGAGGCU